AUACGGAGGGUCCAAGCGUUAUCCGGAAUCAUUGGGUUUAAAGGGUUCGCAGGCGGUCAAUUAAGUCAGAGGUGAAAGCCCAUCGCUCAACGAUGGAACUGCCUUUGAUACUGGUUGACUUGAGUUAUACGGAAGUAGAUAGAAUAAGUAGUGUAGCGGUGAAAUGCAUAGAUAUUACUUAGAAUACCGAUUGCGAAGGCAGUCUACUACGUAUAUACUGACGCUGAGGGACGAAAGCGUGGGGAGCGAACAGGAUUAGAAACCCCAGUAGUCC
This 274-nucleotide ribosomal RNA is filed under the name uncultured bacterium. RNAcentral's name for it is "partial 16S ribosomal RNA". It matches the Rfam family "Bacterial small subunit ribosomal RNA", at positions 523 to 796 of the family's 1533-position model. The record is from RNAcentral.